GAAUGCUGACAUAAGUAACGAUAAAGCGGGUGAAAAGCCCGCUCGCCGGAAGACCAAGGGUUCCUGUCCAACGUUAAUCGGGGCAGGGUGAGUCGACCCCUAAGGCGAGGCCGAAAGGCGUAGUCGAUGGGAAACGGGUUAAUAUUCCCGUACUUGGUGUUACUGCGAAGGGGGGACGGAGAAGGCUAUGUUGGCCGGGCGACGGUUGUCCCGGUUUAAGCGUGUAGGUGUGUGUUCCAGGUAAAUCCGGUUCACUUUAACACUGAGGCGUGACGACGAGGCACUACGGUGCUGAAGCAACAAAUGCCCUGCUUCCAGGAAAAGCCUCUAAGCAUCAGGUAACAUCAAAUCGUACCC
RNAcentral lists this ribosomal RNA (357 nucleotides) under Salmonella enterica subsp. enterica serovar Heidelberg. RNAcentral's name for it is "partial 23S ribosomal RNA". It matches the Rfam family "Bacterial large subunit ribosomal RNA", at positions 1292 to 1649 of the family's 2925-position model. RNAcentral also lists the same sequence under 3 other names. Lineage: Bacteria; Pseudomonadati; Pseudomonadota; Gammaproteobacteria; Enterobacterales; Enterobacteriaceae. The record is from RNAcentral.